This 209-nucleotide long non-coding RNA is filed under the name Mytilus galloprovincialis (Mediterranean mussel). Lineage: Eukaryota; Metazoa; Mollusca; Bivalvia; Mytilida; Mytilidae. The record is from RNAcentral.
UUAAAGUCAUAUGAAACCAGUGAGUGGUGAAAAAUAAUGUUUAUCCAAUUCUUGAACCAAUUCAUGUAUAUAUCAUAAACUUAGUCCUCUGUGCACGAUUUUAUCAUUUUUUACGCAAAUAUAUCGUAUAAUCGUCAAUUUUUUUUCUCUCUGUCUGUUAUGAUUUAACAAAUAUGGCUGCUUAUUAAAUGCCGUGUUUUGAAGUCGAA